This 402-nucleotide ribosomal RNA is filed under the name uncultured bacterium. RNAcentral's name for it is "bacterial SSU rRNA". It matches the Rfam family "Bacterial small subunit ribosomal RNA", at positions 976 to 1380 of the family's 1533-position model. The record is from RNAcentral.
CGGGCUUGAAUUGCACAGGACAGGGGCAGAGAUGCCUUUUUCUUCGGACCUGUGUGAAGGUGCUGCAUGGUUGUCGUCAGCUCGUGCCGUGAGGUGUCGGCUUAAGUGCCAUAACGAGCGCAACCCUAAUUUUCAGUUACUAACAGGUUAAGCUGAGGACUCUGGAAAGACUGCCGUCGUAAGAUGUGAGGAAGGUUGGGAUGACGUCAAAUCAGCACGGCCCUUACGUCCGGGGCUACACACGUGUUACAAUGGGAGGUACAGCAGGCAGCCACCUGGCGACAGGGCGCUAAUCCCGAAAGCCUCUCUCAGUUCGGAUUGGAGUCUGCAACCCGACUCCAUGAAGCUGGAUUCGCUAGUAAUCGCGCAUCAGCCACGGCGCGGUGAAUACGUUCCCGGGCC